Molecule: ribosomal RNA, 537 nt
Filed under: Alpheus thomasi
Lineage: Eukaryota; Metazoa; Arthropoda; Malacostraca; Decapoda; Alpheidae
Description: partial 16S ribosomal RNA
Rfam family: Bacterial large subunit ribosomal RNA
Source: RNAcentral
GUCUUCACUGAGAUUAGAUAUGAAGUCUGGCCUGCCCACUGAUGAAUAAUUAAAGGGCCGCGGUAUUCUAACCGUGCGAAGGUAGCAUAGUCAAUAGUCUUUUAAUUGGGGGCUUGAAUGAAUGGUCGGACGUGAAGGAGUCUGUCUUAGCCUAGGGUAGUGAAGUUAACUUUUGUGUGAAAAGGCAUGAAUGACUUGGGGGGACGAUAAGACCCUAUAAAACUUGAUGGUUGGGUUGUUAAGUUUUCGAUUUGUUGGUAAAGGGGGCUUGGCGGAGUAUCAUUGUGCUGGGGCGGCAGGAAUAUAGGUGGUAACUGUUCUUAAAAUAAAAUGACUAUAAUCAGACUCUGACCCUGGAUUAGAGGUUAAAAGUGUAAGUUACUUUAGGGAUAACAGCGUUAUUUCUCUUGAGAGUCCAUAUCGACAGAGAUGUUUUUUGACCUCGAUGUUGAAUUAAAGCUUCCUUCGGGGGUAGCAGUUCGGGGGGCAGGUCUGUUCGACCUUUAAAGUUUUACAUGAUUUGAGUUCAAACCGGUG